GCAGUCGAACGCAUCCUUCGGGGUGAGUGGCAGACGGGUGAGUAACGCGUGGGGAUGUGCCUAGAGGUGGGGAAUAACUGUGGGAAACUACAGCUAAUACCGCAUACGCCCUUUUUGGGGAAAGAUUUAUCGCCUUUAGAGCAACCCGCGUCAGAUUAGCUAGUUGGUAGGGUAAUGGCCUACCAAGGCGACGAUCUGUAGCUGGUCUGAGAGGAUGACCAGCCACACUGGGACUGAGACACGGCCCAGACUCCUACGGGAGGCAGCAGUGGGGAAUAUUGGACAAUGGGCGCAAGCCUGAUCCAGCCAUGCCGCGUGAGUGAUGACGGCCUUAGGGUUGUAAAGCUCUUUUAACAGGGACGAUAAUGACGGUACCUGUAGAAUAAGCCCCGGCAAACUUCGUGCCAGCAGCCGCGGUAAUACGAAGGGGGCUAGCGUUGUUCGGAAUUACUGGGCGUAAAGCGCACGUAGGCGGAUUGUUAAGUCGGGGGUGAAAUCCUGAGGCUCAACCUCAGAACUGCCUUCGAUACUGGCGAUCUUGAGUUCGGAAGAGGUUGGUGGAACAGCUAGUGUAGAGGUGAAAUUCGUAGAUAUU
This 595-nucleotide ribosomal RNA is filed under the name Labrys neptuniae. RNAcentral's name for it is "bacterial SSU rRNA". It matches the Rfam family "Bacterial small subunit ribosomal RNA", at positions 57 to 698 of the family's 1533-position model. Lineage: Bacteria; Pseudomonadati; Pseudomonadota; Alphaproteobacteria; Hyphomicrobiales; Xanthobacteraceae. The record is from RNAcentral.